Molecule: ribosomal RNA, 496 nt
Filed under: uncultured bacterium
Lineage: Bacteria
Description: partial 16S ribosomal RNA
Rfam family: Bacterial small subunit ribosomal RNA
Source: RNAcentral
GAUGAACGCUGGCGGCGUGCCUAAUACAUGCAAGUCGAGCGAACGGACGAGAAGCUUGCUUCUCUGAUGUUAGCGGCGGACGGGUGAGUAACACGUGGAUAACCUACCUAUAAGACUGGGAUAACUUCGGGAAACCGGAGCUAAUACCGGAUGAUAUUUUGAACCGCAUGGUUCAAAAGUGAAAGACGGUCUUGCUGUCACUUAUAGAUGGAUCCGCGCUGCAUUAGCUAGUUGGUAAGGUAACGGCUUACCAAGGCAACGAUGCAUAGCCGACCUGAGAGGGUGAUCGGCCACACGGGAACUGAGACACGGUCCAGACCCCUAGGGGAGGCAGCAGUGGGGAAUCUUCCGCAAUGGGCGAAAGCCUGACGGAGCAACGCCGCGGGAGUGAUGAAGGUCUUCGGAUCGUAAAACUCUGUUAUUAGGGAAAAACAUUUGUGUAAGUAACUGUGCACAUUUUGACGGUACCUAAUCAAAAAGCCACGGCUAACUACGU